UUGCACUGUUCGUAACCUGUUGACAGUAUCUUCCUGGAAAUGGGUUCCAUUCUGGUGCUACACUAAGUCCAAAAUGGGAAGACUGACAAAGUCUGUCUCUCUUCUACAUUUGGGGACAAAC
This is a small nucleolar RNA of Alligator mississippiensis (American alligator), 121 nucleotides long. NCBI's taxonomy places the organism in Eukaryota, Metazoa, Chordata, Crocodylia, Alligatoridae. The record is from Rfam.